Cynoglossus semilaevis (tongue sole) is the source of this 146-nucleotide long non-coding RNA. RefSeq lists it as uncharacterized. The record is from RefSeq and is a predicted model, not a curated record. The transcript has 3 exons. NCBI's taxonomy places the organism in Eukaryota, Metazoa, Chordata, Actinopteri, Pleuronectiformes, Cynoglossidae.
CUCUUGCUGGUCUCUGGUGAUGUGGCAUUGGCUUGGUCAUGUGGGAGGCCAGGCAUUGUGGUGACACUGUUCAGCUGCUCUGGUGCCGACAGCUACACUGACUGGUCCAGGAGUGUGGGCUGGGGAAACCACGGUGCUCUGCCAGA